Long non-coding RNA from Quercus robur (English oak), 236 nucleotides. RefSeq lists it as uncharacterized. The transcript is spliced from 2 exons. NCBI's taxonomy places the organism in Eukaryota, Viridiplantae, Streptophyta, Magnoliopsida, Fagales, Fagaceae. The record is from RefSeq and is a predicted model, not a curated record.
GACUAGUGCAGUCUUGAAGAGCUGCGUGAGUGAGAGCAAGCAAGAGAGAAGAGAAAAAUAGAGAGAGUAAGAGAAAAUACACAGUGAGGAAGAGAGCAGUGAGUGAAAAGAAAAAGAGAUUUUUUUUUUUACUCAAGUUGUAUCUCUAAGUGUUGUAAUCUCUAUUUUAUAUAGUGAAAUUAUUCAGAGUUUGUCCCGUGGUUUUUCCCUUCAAGGAGAAAGGGUUUCUACGUAAA